This 733-nucleotide ribosomal RNA is filed under the name Agrobacterium tumefaciens. RNAcentral describes it as "bacterial SSU rRNA". It matches the Rfam family "Bacterial small subunit ribosomal RNA", at positions 1 to 765 of the family's 1533-position model. The record is from RNAcentral. Lineage: Bacteria; Pseudomonadati; Pseudomonadota; Alphaproteobacteria; Hyphomicrobiales; Rhizobiaceae.
GCUCAAGACAUGCCUGUUCUUUUUAGAGUUUUUUUUCCUGCUCAGAACGAACGCUGGCGGCAGGCUUAACACAUGCAAGUCGAACGCCCCGCAAGGGGAGUGGCAGACGGGUGAGUAACGCGUGGGAACAUACCCUUUCCUGCGGAAUAGCUCCGGGAAACUGGAAUUAAUACCGCAUACGCCCUACGGGGGAAAGAUUUAUCGGGGAAGGAUUGGCCCGCGUUGGAUUAGCUAGUUGGUGGGGUAAAGGCCUACCAAGGCGACGAUCCAUAGCUGGUCUGAGAGGAUGAUCAGCCACAUUGGGACUGAGACACGGCCCAAACUCCUACGGGAGGCAGCAGUGGGGAAUAUUGGACAAUGGGCGCAAGCCUGAUCCAGCCAUGCCGCGUGAGUGAUGAAGGCCUUAGGGUUGUAAAGCUCUUUCACCGGAGAAGAUAAUGACGGUAUCCGGAGAAGAAGCCCCGGCUAACUUCGUGCCAGCAGCCGCGGUAAUACGAAGGGGGCUAGCGUUGUUCGGAAUUACUGGGCGUAAAGCGCACGUAGGCGGAUAUUUAAGUCAGGGGUGAAAUCCCAGAGCUCAACUCUGGAACUGCCUUUGAUACUGGGUAUCUUGAGUAUGGAAGAGGUAAGUGGAAUUCCGAGUGUAGAGGUGAAAUUCGUAGAUAUUCGGAGGAACACCAGUGGCGAAGGCGGCUUACUGGUCCAUUACUGACGCUGAGGGCGAAAAGACGCC